This 354-nucleotide ribosomal RNA is filed under the name uncultured bacterium. RNAcentral describes it as "bacterial SSU rRNA". It matches the Rfam family "Bacterial small subunit ribosomal RNA", at positions 917 to 1269 of the family's 1533-position model. The record is from RNAcentral.
GGACCCGCACAAGUAGUGGAGCAUGUGGUUUAAUUCGAAGAUACGCGCAGAACCUUACCAACACUUGACAUGUUCGUCGCGACUCUAAGAGAUUAGAGUUUUCGGUUCGGCCGGACGAAACACAGGUGCUGCAUGGCUGUCGUCAGCUCGUGUCGUGAGAUGUUGGGUUAAGUCCCGCAACGAGCGCAACCCUCACUUUUAGUUGCCAUCAUUAAGUUGGGCACUCUGAAAGAACUGCCAGUGAUAAGCUGGAGGAAGGUGGGGAUGACGUCAAGUCCUCAUGGCCCUUACGUGUUGGGCUACACACGUGCUACAAUGGGGAAUACAGACGGACGCUAAGCCGCGAGUGGUGCU